GGACGAACGCUGGCGGCACGCUUAACACAUGCAAGUCGAACGGAGUUAUCGAGAGCUUGCUUUGAUAACUAGUGGCGGACGGGUGAGUAACACGUGAGCAAUCUGCCCUUAAGAGGGGGAUAGCAGUUGGAAACGACUGAUAAUACCGCAUAAGAUAGUAGUACCGCAUGGUACAGCUAUAAAAGAUUUAUCGCUUAAGGAUGAGCUCGCGUCUGAUUAGCUAGUUGGUGAGGUAACGGCUCACCAAGGCAACGAUCAGUAGCCGGACUGAGAGGUUGGACGGCCACAUUGGGACUGAGACACGGCCCAGACUCCUACGGGAGGCAGCAGUGGGGAAUAUUGCACAAUGGAGGAAACUCUGAUGCAGCGAUGCCGCGUGAGGGAAGAAGGUUUUAGGAUUGUAAACCUCUGUUGACAGGGACGAUAAUGACGGUACCUGUUGAGGAAGCUCCGGCUAACUACGUGCCAGCCGCCGC
Molecule: ribosomal RNA, 476 nt
Filed under: uncultured bacterium
Lineage: Bacteria
Description: bacterial SSU rRNA
Rfam family: Bacterial small subunit ribosomal RNA
Source: RNAcentral